GGGUUGUGAGGUUAAGCGACUAAGCGUACACGGUGGAUGCCCUGGCAGUCAGAGGCGAUGAAGGACGUGCUAAUCUGCGAUAAGCGCCGGUAAGGUGAUAUGAACCGUUAUAACCGGCGAUUUCCGAAUGGGGAAACCCAGUGUGAUUCGUCACACUAUCAUUAACUGAAUCCAUAGGUUAAUGAGGCGAACCGGGGGAACUGAAACAUCUAAGUACCCCGAGGAAAAGAAAUCAACCGAGAUUCCCCCAGUAGCGGCGAGCGAACGGGGAGGAGCCCAGAGCCUGAAUCAGCAUGUGUGUUAGUGGAAGCGUCUGGAAAGGCGCGCGAUACAGGGUGACAGCCCCGUACACAAAAGCGCACAUGCUGUGAGCUCGAUGAGUAGGGCGGGACACGUGGUAUCCUGUCUGAAUAUGGGGGGACCAUCCUCCAAGGCUAAAUACUCCUGACUGACCGAUAGUGAACCAGUACCGUGAGGGAAAGGCGAAAAGAACCCCGGCGAGGGGAGUGAAAAAGAACCUGAAACCGUGUACGUACAAGCAGUGGGAGCACCCUUUGGGGUGUGACUGCGUACCUUUUGUAUAAUGGGUCAGCGACUUAUAUUCUGUAGCAAGGUUAACCGUAUAGGGGAGCCGGAGGGAAACCGAGUCUUAACCGGGCGUUAAGUUGCAGGGUAUAGACCCGAAACCCGGUGAUCUAGCCAUGGGCAGGUUGAAGGUUGGGUAACACUAACUGGAGGACCGAACCGACUAAUGUUGAAAAAUUAGCGGAUGACCU
This 776-nucleotide ribosomal RNA is filed under the name Salmonella enterica. RNAcentral's name for it is "partial 23S ribosomal RNA". It matches the Rfam family "Bacterial large subunit ribosomal RNA", at positions 1 to 810 of the family's 2925-position model. Lineage: Bacteria; Pseudomonadati; Pseudomonadota; Gammaproteobacteria; Enterobacterales; Enterobacteriaceae. The record is from RNAcentral.